RNAcentral lists this ribosomal RNA (488 nucleotides) under Flavobacteriaceae bacterium JJ-230. Its description in RNAcentral is "bacterial SSU rRNA". It matches the Rfam family "Bacterial small subunit ribosomal RNA", at positions 1 to 495 of the family's 1533-position model. Lineage: Bacteria; Pseudomonadati; Bacteroidota; Flavobacteriia; Flavobacteriales; Flavobacteriaceae. The record is from RNAcentral.
CUGAGUUUGAUCCCUGGCUCAGGAUGAACGCUAGCGGCAGGCUUAACACAUGCAAGUCGAGGGGUAUUAGUUUUCGGACUAAGAGACCGGCGCACGGGUGCGUAACGCGUAUGCAAUCUACCUUUUACAGAGGGAUAGCCCAGAGAAAUUUGGAUUAAUACCUCAUAGUAUAGCAGUUUNGCAUGAANCCACUAUUAAAGUCACAACGGUAAAAGAUGAGCAUGCGUCCCAUUAGCUAGUUGGUAAGGUAACGGCUUACCAAGGCUACGAUGGGUAGGGGUCCUGAGAGGGAGAUCCCCCACACUGGUACUGAGACACGGACCAGACUCCUACGGGAGGCAGCAGUGAGGAAUAUUGGACAAUGGGCGCAAGCCUGAUCCAGCCAUGCCGCGUGCAGGAUGACGGUCCUAUGGAUUGUAAACUGCUUUUAUANGAGAAGAAACACUCCUUCGUGAAGGAGAAAGACGGUAUCGUAAGAAUAAGGAUCG